GCGCGAAACCUCCGCAAUGCGAGCAAUCGCGACGGGGGGACCCCAAGUGCUACUCUUAACGGGGUAGCUUUUCUAAAGUGUAAAAAGCUUCAGUAAUAAGAGCUGGGCAAGACCGGUGCCAGCCGCCGCGGUAACACCGGCAGCUCAAGUGGUGGCCACUUUUAUUGGGCCUAAAGCGUUCGUAGCCGGCCUGAUAAGUCUCUGGUGAAAUCCCGCAGCUUAACUGUGGGAAUUGCUGGAGAUACUAUCAGGCUUGAGGCCGGGAGAGGCUGGAGGAACUCCCAGGGUAGGGGUGAAAUCCUAUAAUCCUGGGAGGACCACCUGUGGCGAAGGCGUCCAGCUGGAACGGACCUGACGGUGAGUAACGAAGCCAGGGGCGCGAACCGGAUUAGAUACCCU
RNAcentral lists this ribosomal RNA (399 nucleotides) under uncultured bacterium. RNAcentral's name for it is "bacterial SSU rRNA". It matches the Rfam family "Archaeal small subunit ribosomal RNA", at positions 339 to 739 of the family's 1478-position model. The record is from RNAcentral.